This 388-nucleotide unclassified non-coding RNA is filed under the name soil metagenome. Its description in RNAcentral is "partial contains 5.8S ribosomal RNA, internal transcribed spacer 2, and large subunit ribosomal RNA". The stretch from base 1 to 120 matches the Rfam family "5.8S ribosomal RNA", at positions 35 to 154 of the family's 154-position model. The record is from RNAcentral.
GAUGAAGAACGUAGCGAAAUGCGAUAAGUAAUGUGAAUUGCAGAAUUCAGUGAAUCAUCGAAUCUUUGAACGCACCUUGCACCCUUUGGUAUUCCGAAGGGUACACCCGUUUGAGUGUCAUUGUAAUCUCACUACGACCACUUUAUUGUUGGUUUGUAUGUGGACUUGGAUGUUGCCGUGUAACAAACGGCUCGUCUGAAAUGCCUGAGUGUACCCUGCUUUUGCGGCGUAUUCGGUGUGAUAAAUCUUCACCGGAGUUGACUUUCGGGUCGCGCUUGUAUUGUCGGGCUCUAUGCUUCCAACCGUCCUAACAAGACAAUCUUUGACAAUUUGACCUCAAAUCGGGUGGGACUACCCGCUGAACUUAAGCAUAUCAAUAAGCGGAGGA